RNAcentral lists this long non-coding RNA (6682 nucleotides) under Xyrichtys novacula (pearly razorfish). Lineage: Eukaryota; Metazoa; Chordata; Actinopteri; Labriformes; Labridae. The record is from RNAcentral.
UUGAUACUAAAAGUCCAUGCAUAAUGCACAUUUGUUGUUAGCUAGUCAACGCCAGAGGUAUCAACACUCAGGCUCAGUCAAAAAAGAAUGUUCAUAGCCCUAUUGGGUUUGUCAAAGUCAUGUCAGAAUGUCACAGUAUGCAGCAGGUACUCCUUAUCCAGUUUCAGCCUCCUGUAGCAGACAGAUCUUCGUAAUAGGCCGGUCCAGGCAGCUGCUCUUCGUCUUGACACGCACCUGACGCACAAAUCCCUUCCGGUCUGGAAAAGUCUGUAGAACUCUCCCCAUGAGCCAGGAGUUUCGAGGAGCUGUGUUGUCCACAAUGAGCACUAUGUCUCCAGGGAUGAGGUUGCGCUUCACUCCUGUCCACCUCUGACGCUCCUGCAGCUGAGGCAAGUAUUCCUUCACCCACCUUUUCCAGAACAAGUCUGACAUGUAUUGUACUUGCUUCCAUCGCCUACGAGCAUAAACAUCAACUUCUUGACAGUUUGUUGGAGGUAGGGAUGGUGAGGUUUUCAACAAUAGGAGAUGGUUUGGUGCCAGUGCCUCCAGAUCAUUCGGAUCCCUUGAUGCCUUUGUGAUUGGCCGACUGUUAAUUAUGGCCUCCACCUCACAAAGAACUGUGUGAAGAUCUUCUUCAUCCAGGUUCUGCACAUUCAAGGUGGAGUUGAGGACCUUCCUCACAGAACGAAUUAACCUCUCCCAAGAUCCUCCAUGAUGCGAGCCAGCUGGGGGGUUAAAUGUCCACUUGAUUCCCCUCUGGAGAAGCAUAUCAUGGAUUUGUGACUGAUUCCACUGUUCAAUCGCCACCCUCAGCUCACGCUCCGCCCCCACAAAAUUCGUGCCAUUAUCAGACCGCAGUUCCAGGACUUGACCACGUCUUGCUAUGAAGCGUCUAAGAGCAUUAAUGAAUGAGUCGGUGUCCAGUGAAGGAGCCACUUCAAUGUGAAUUGCUCGAAUGGCCAAGCAUGUAAAGAUGACACCAUACCUCUUGACCACACUUCUUCUGCUUUUAACUUCAAAUGGUUUAAAAUAGUCCACGCCAACAUGUGUAAAUGGUGGUUCAUCCGGAGUAACUCUUUCGUGUGGCAAGUCCGCCAUCUGCUGAGACACUGGCUGAGCAUUCAGCCUCCGACAGGUGACACACUUUGAUAAAACUCUCCUCAUGACUGUACUGACUCCAGUGAUCCAGUACUUCUCCUGCAAUUUGGAUAACAUGUGGUUACGUCCACCAUGUCCCACUUCCUGAUGGAUGUGCCUAAGAAGAAGGUCUGAGAUGUGGAAUUCCUUUGAUAAUAUAACGGGAUGUUGAGCCUCCACAGGCAUAGAUGACUUGCUCAACCGACCACCAACUCUCAGAACACCAUCUUGUAGCUGUGGGCAGAGUCUGUGAAUAGGACUUCUGCCCUUCACACACUGCCCAUUUUGGAGUCUGGACAACUCCUCUGGAAACGUCUUCCUUUGACAGAACUUGACAAUUUCCAGCUCAGCUUUUUCAAGUUCCUCCACUGACAGAUGACUGCCCAUUGAUUCCCUUUUGAAAGUGUCCAUCGCCUCCUCCAAUGAACGUCUUUGUGAUUUUGCAUUCAAGUCAGAUUUAGCCAAAUCUGUGAUCAACUGUCUCCUUUUCUGAUAACAUGACAAAAGCCAGUUCCUGUACCUCAAUAUCCAAGCCACAGAUUUUCUCAGAGCAAUCCAAGAUGAGAAGCAGCGGAUCAUGCGACUCACAGUGUCAGCCUCUUCUCCAACCUGAGCAGCAUUCACCACAGCAGCUCUUUUGACCUCAGGGUCAUCUGGUGGAAGCUGGAUAACAUUCCCAAAUUUACUUGGCCACUCAGUCUCAAGCUGAAUAAGAAACUGUGGACCUGACACCCAAAUUUCAUUCUUGAGAAAUGCAUCCACCUUCAAACCUCUAGAGGCAAUAUCGGCUGGAUUACUUGCAGUGUCCACAUAUCUCCAUUGAGAAGGCUCUGACACCUUGAGUAUUUCUGAGACUCGGUUGGCAACAAAGACUUUAAACCUUGAAGUCUCAUUACCGAUGUACUUGAGCACAGACUCGCUAUCGGUCCAGAACACAGACUCCUGAAGGUUCAUGUGCAGCUCUUUCCUCCACAGGACAUCCAUGCGACUUGCCAUUGUUGCGGCAAUGAGCUCCAUUCGGGGUAUAGUAACAGACUUCAGUGGAGCAACCCUUGCUUUUCCCCCAAUGAAGGCACUGUGUACUUGUGAGUGUGAACCAUGGGACAGCAGGUAAGUAACUACUCCGUAACCAUCCUCACUUGCAUCACAGAAAUGGUGCAACUGUGUCUUAGUUGUGGCUCCAACGUUCUGGGGUUUCAGACACCUCAUGAGACUAAAGUUCUCCAGAAGACUGAGUUCCUGCAACCAGGUUAUCCACUUUUCAGCAACUGACUCCAUAAUGAUGUCAUCCCAUCCAAGUGAUCUCCUGCACAGAUCUCUUAGGAUUUUCUUUGCAGACAAGAUGACUGGACUAAGUAUCCCUAGAGGAUCAUAGAUGGAACUAACAGUGGAGAGAAUCCCUCUUCUGGUAAGUGGUCUGUCUUUGAUGACAAUCUUAAACUUAAAGGUAUCAGAGCGAAUACACCAUUCCACACCAAGUACUCUUUCCACAGGUAGCCGAUCCAAGUCCAUGUCCAACUCUUUCAUGACCUUUGCUCUUUGUGUUUCAGGCAUCACAGCUAGGACUUCACGCCUGUUGCUUGUCCAUUUAUUGAGAUGGAACCCACCCUUGGCACAGAUUGAGACAAGGUCAUGAUAGAGAGCUACUGCCUCCUCUUCGGUAGGUACAGACACCAAACAGUCAUCCACGUAGAAGCAAUGUAAGACCUUUUCUACAACUUCCUGGCUAAACUGUUCUUUAUGGUCCUCUGCACACUUCCUGAGGGCAAAAUUGGCACAGCUGGGUGAUGAGGUUGCUCCAAAGAGAUGCACCUUCAUCCUGAAGUCAGUAAGAGGUUGAUUCAGAUCCCCAUCUGGCCACCAUAAGAAUCUCAACAGAUCAGCAUCUCCAGCAGGUACCUUCACUUGGUGAAACAUGGCUUCCACAUCUGCCAUGAUCACCACCGGUUCCUUUCUGAAUCUAGUCACCACUCCAAUCAGUGAACUGGUUAGAUCAGGUCCUUGUAGCAGCUCAGCAUUGAGAGAUGUUCCCUGGAAACUAGCCCCACAGUCAAAGACAACUCUGAUUUUCCCUUUCGUACGAUGGUAAACACCAUGGUGUGGAAUAUACCAGACUUUGCCAUCUCCACGAUCUAUCUCACGUUCAGGCACCUUUUCUGCAUAACCUUUGGCAACAAGCUCGUUCAUGAAGGCAUUAUAGUCUGCAUGAAACGGUAAGUCCCUCUGAAGCCUUUUCUUUAGGUGCAAAGCACGCUGUACAACAAUACUUCUGUUAUUUGGCAUGCUAAGUUCUGGCUUCCUCAAAGGUAAGUUGAUCUGGUAGUGACCAUCCAUUUGCUUCGCAGAGUUUGUGACAAGUUCCAUGAACUUAUGAUCCUCUCUUGACAUUGCAGGUUGCUCAUCCAUACUGCUCUCAGGAAAAUCUGCUGCAAACUGCUGCUGCCAGAGUCCGUCCAAAUUCACAACAGACACUCUGUUUACUGUUACAUGUUGCUGCUCACAACUCAAUGUACUCCCACUGUCUCCUUUCAGUGGUCCAUUCACAGUCCAGCCCAGCAUUGUCUUUAUUGCAUAGGGUCCGCCAUUGGCACUGCGAAUGACUUGCAAAGGUUCCAGGGCCUGGGGAACAUUUGUCCCUAUCAGCAGCUCAAUCCCUGCAUCUAUAUCAGGCAGGUAUACAUGUUUCAAAUGAGGCCAAUCCUCAAGAUCACACUGUUUGGGAAUGUUACCUUUGUGGACAGGCCUGACACGAUAUGGCUGCUCACAACCUUCUCUUGGCCCAUGGUCCGCAAAAAAAUUUGCACUUUCCUCCCUGUGAGGCCCAGCUUGUGCACUAAACUGUCAGUACAAAAUACUGCUGUACUUCCCGGAUCCAAGAAAGCAUAUGUGGCAAGUAUUGUGGUGCCCUUCUGUGAUUUGACCUGAACGGGGACUAUGGGAAGUUUGCAAUCAUGAUCACCAGCCCCAGUAAGACCACUCGACACCAGAGUGCUGUCCACCAUCAUCUCUGCUUUCCUCUCAGCAUGAUCAGAAUCCUUCACCUUUUCUUUUGCAGGAAUGUGCAGUACAGUAGGAUGUUUGAGGCCACAUUUUCCACAAGAAAUCCAUUUUCUGCAAUCUUUACUGAUGUGUCCAAUACACAGACAGCCAAAACAGACACCUUUAUCUCUUAAGAAGCCUAUCUUCUCUUUGUGAGUCCUCUUCUCCAACUUGGGACACAGAUCCAAUGUGUGUCCUCCUCCACAGCAAAAACAUGUCUUCUUUGCUGAUUGCACAAAUUCCUGACCACUGACUCCAGGCUGAUUUCUCUUUUCCACAGGGGCCACAGGGGCCACAGGGGCCACAGUGGUGGCGAAGCUGGUCCCUUUCGUACCCGAACGAGGCUGUGUGGCAAAUUUAUGUACACCUCUAGGUAUGGUAACUGAGGGGGCAUCCUGAAUAUUUCCGAACACUGGGUCUGUCAGAAUUCUCACUUGUCUCUCAAUGAAAUUUGUAAUGUCUUUGAAUGUAGCUCUGUAUCCACGCCUCUCUUGCAGCUCACAGGCCUCAGAUCUCCAUUUGUCCCUGUACUUAUAAGGCAACUUCUUUAUAAUGGUUAGCAUGUUAGCAGGCAUAUCGAAGUCAUGCAAAUACUGCACCUCUUCCAUGGCAUUAGAACAGCCUCUAAGGAAAAGGCUGUAAUCCUGAAGAGCUUUAACAUCUUCUGUUUUGAUGGAGGGCCAUGAAAGAGCCUUUUCCAUGUAUGCCGCUGUAACCUUCUGCUCAUUACCAAAAUGCUCAGAUAACAAAACUUUAGCUUUAGCAUAUCCUCUCACUGGAUCAAGAUGCUGACAGCUUCUGAUUAGUUGUUUAGGAAGACCACUGGUAUACUGCUCCAAGUAGUAUCGUCGGUCACUGCAGCUCUCCGUGUUCGCUUCAACCCCAUUCUCAAAGGCCCUUCUAAAUGUGUGGUAUUUUAAUGGAUCACCAUCAAAAAUUGGGAUCGCCCUCCUAGGCAAGGAUGAGAGGCUUUGUUGUUGUAUUAAGAGUGAUGUUAUUUCAUUUUGCCUUCCCAUAAUAGACAGCAUAUUAUUUUGAUCCACAUUUCCUGAUCCAGCUCUUGCACCCAAGGCAUCUUGCUGUUGAACGUGCAUACUUUCAUUAGCAUUUUGACCUGCCUGUAGACUGGGUGCAUUAAGAGAGUAAGAAUGUGGCUGAGGUGCUUUAUUGUUUUCCUUUGGUUCAGUUGACUUCAGCGGAACAAAUGCCCUGGAAUCAGCUCUGAGAGGUUGUGAUGUUAAUUUUUGUUUUUCCAGGUAUGAAUUCAUUCCAUCUGAGUGUUUUGUUCUUGAACCUCUCCCACUUAAGAUGCUCCUGGAUCGCAACACAUCCAGUUUAGCCAUUUGAGCUGCAAUUUCCUCAUCCAAUUUAAGCUGUUCCUUCCUUUUCCGUAGUUGUUCCUCCUGUUGUUCCAGUUCAUGCUUGUCCUUUAAUAUUUUUUGUCUCGCCAUAAGUGCUGCCAAGUCAGCUUCAGCUUGGAGACGAACUGAAGAAGUGGUUGAAACAGCUGAUUUUCCUCCAAACACAGAACUUUGUGAUUUGGCUCCUCUUCCCACAUUAGACACACUGUCACUUGGUUUUACUUCAUCCGGUGGAUCAUCAGCCAUAAUUACUGACACAGCCUGCACUGCUGUUUGAGAGUGAUAAAUGUCAGAAAUGCACUCUCCAGUUGUUACAGCUUGGCCAGACUGAUCAGGACUGUCAUUGUGGAUCGAUUCCACUGUUUCACUCAUCCAUUUAUUCACAUUCUCCUUAAAUGUAUUGCUGUACCUCAUGAUGCUUGAGAACCAUUCAUCUUGUUUAGUUUGUUCAUCCUCUGGGAGUAAGGGAAGCAGCAUGUUGUGCAAUGUGGUGGCAUUCUCACAAAGUUCAUUUAAAUUGUCAGUAUGAAGUAGCACAGUAGAGACUUUUUCCUUUGUUUUCAUGAAAGUUUUCGUUUCUGGUAUGAGACAUUUAAUUUUGUGCACAAUGUUCUUGCGUUCUUGCUGAAGCUUCUCAAUUUUAUUUGCCAUGGCUUUGAAGGUGAGUUUAAUUUCUCUUUUUCCACACUGCAUUUCAGCAUUUGCAAAAUCGGCGUUUAUUUGACUCAUUUUCCUCCUUUAAUUUCCAGCGCAUGUUUUCCCCAAACCUUGCGCAUUUGAAACUGCGUCCAUGAAUCAAGAGGCAUUCUCCAUCAGACAGACAUUAUUUUUCCACAACAGCAAAGCACCAGUAACUUCGAGGAGACACAACGGAGAUUUCAAAAUAAAAGCAUGGAGACAUCCAGCACCGUGAGCCAUCAAAAUAUCAAAGCAUGAGUCCGGAGAACCAUAGGUCAUAUCAGGCAAUCCUCCCAAAUUGACAAUCAGCAUAUGCAAGCCGCAUUCCUUUCCUCAGUAAGGCUGAGAGCAGACAAGCUUACCUUGCCGCAGAUUCACAAUGCCGCGUGGCGUCCGGAGCUGUCAAUCAAACAGCGCUUACCCUCAUGCUUCAUCUCCGAUGCUUGCUCUUUUCAUUUUCCUCCGAA